ACAGCAAUAUUUGGGGUCUUCACGCAUCAGCAGAAAUGAGCGUGCCGUUACUGCAGGACUGAGGGCAAGAGCCUUUCCGAAGACCACAUGCGAGUACCAUGCUCACACAGAUGUCUGUAAGUAUAAUGUGAACUGCAGGUGAUGGUGCCUUCAACUUUUAACACACUUCUCCACUUAAACUAUUCAGGGCUCAUACUUAAACAGUAAUCCACAGCUGCUGCAAAUUGAUUUAUCCCCUGAUGACAGUCGGUUGCUGACUGAGUUGCUGGAGAGAAAGAGUUCCUUGGUUCAGAAGCCCUUACUGUUAAUCAAGAGAGGGAGAUUAGAAGAGAUCAGAACUACCAGCCUGAAGAGCACUUUGCAUUUGACUACACCUUUCUACCAGCCUUGUGUUUUUCUUCUGAUACCUCUGCAGGGAGAAGUUCUCCAGGUAAGGUUACAUCUGCAGCCUGAGCUCUCCCCUUCUAACUAAGCCAUCUCAUACUGAUUUUUGGACAGUGCAUUUUCUUCUUCUUCUUCCUUUUUUUUUUUUUUUUUUUUUUUUUUAAUCAUGCUUAAGAUUUGUCAGAGAAUCAUAGAAUCAGUUCUAAAUAGGUAUAAAUUAUAAUUGUCUCUCCAUAUCUUGCUCACCUUAGCUGAAGCCAGCAACUCAGGCAGUAAUAGGCUCUAAGCAGGACCAGGGGCUGUUGAAUUCUUCAUGUUAAAGCAAAGGCACUCAUUUUUAUCCCAAUGUGCAUUCAAAACAGGGCUUUAGCAGGCUGCCUUCCUGCAUAAGUGGGACUCAGAGUGUGAGUUAUGCAUCCAGAUCCUUAAAUACAAGAACAUGAAAUAAAAG
RNAcentral lists this long non-coding RNA (835 nucleotides) under Phasianus colchicus (ring-necked pheasant). RNAcentral describes it as "lncRNA (ENSPCLG00000008623.1)". The record is from RNAcentral. Lineage: Eukaryota; Metazoa; Chordata; Aves; Galliformes; Phasianidae.